CGCCGCGUAUCGCAAUGGACAACGCGUCGGUCUACGGAACCGAAGGCCGGAGGUUCGAAUCCUGCCGUGGUCG
RNAcentral lists this transfer RNA (73 nucleotides) under Toxocara canis (dog roundworm). It matches the Rfam family "tRNA". Rfam says of the family: Transfer RNA (tRNA) molecules are approximately 80 nucleotides in length. Their secondary structure includes four short double-helical elements and three loops (D, anti-codon, and T loops). Lineage: Eukaryota; Metazoa; Nematoda; Chromadorea; Rhabditida; Toxocaridae. The record is from Rfam by way of RNAcentral.